This 415-nucleotide long non-coding RNA is filed under the name Phasianus colchicus (ring-necked pheasant). RNAcentral's name for it is "lncRNA (ENSPCLG00000000931.1)". The record is from RNAcentral. Lineage: Eukaryota; Metazoa; Chordata; Aves; Galliformes; Phasianidae.
AGAUAUGCAUUCUAAAGAAAGCAAGAGGAUUCAACCAGAAGUUCUGGGAGUCAAGAGUACUUUCAAAGGCACAGCCAGAGAAGAUGCCUCUCUUUGUCAAAGUGAUGAAGUGACCAGUGGAUGUUUUUCAAGCAGGUCUCAACCAACUACGAAGCUUUGGAGCAGCCAUUAAUUUCACAAGAAUAGUGUCCUUUCAGAGUUGAAUCUGCUGGUUAUACACCUCACGUGGAUAAGGGAAUGACACACACACACUAAAUAUGUACUCCUUAUUUAUCUCAUUUUUUAGCUGGCUGAUGUGUUGCUUUUAUCCACUUCUGUGUCCUGCCACACAGGGCUUUUAUAUUAGUCAGGGAGUUAUGUUCAGCUCUGUUGGUCUCAUAUUUGGAUAAUAAAUCAUACCACCUGAAGGAACUCA